GCAACUAUGAGCCGGACGCCGGGGGGAGUCGUAGGGGGCUAGUGUUGUCCGGGUUAACUGGGGGUAAAGAGCUCGUAGGCGGGUUGCCAAGUGAGAAGUGAAAUCUCCAGGCUGAACCUGGAGCGGCCUUUUAAAACUGGUAUGACUUGAGUAUGGUAGAGGAGUGUGGAAUUCCCGGUGUAGCGGUGAAAUGCGCAGAUAUCGGGAGGAACACCUAUGGCGAAGGCAGCACUCUGGACCAAAACUGACGCUGAGGAGCGAAAGCGUGGGGAGCGAACAGGAUUAGAUACCCGAGUAGUC
RNAcentral lists this ribosomal RNA (300 nucleotides) under uncultured Dialister sp. RNAcentral describes it as "bacterial SSU rRNA". It matches the Rfam family "Bacterial small subunit ribosomal RNA", at positions 497 to 795 of the family's 1533-position model. Lineage: Bacteria; Bacillati; Bacillota; Negativicutes; Veillonellales; Veillonellaceae. The record is from RNAcentral.